Molecule: ribosomal RNA, 253 nt
Filed under: uncultured bacterium
Lineage: Bacteria
Description: partial 16S ribosomal RNA
Rfam family: Bacterial small subunit ribosomal RNA
Source: RNAcentral
UACGUAGGGUCCGAGCGUUGUCCGGAAUUAUUGGGCGUAAAGGGCUCGUAGGCGGUUUGUCGCGUCGGGAGUGAAAUCCCGAGGCUCAACCUCGGGUCUGCAGUGGGUACGGGCAGACUGGAGUGCGGUAGGGGAGAAUGGAAUUCCUGGUGUAGCGGUGAAAUGCGCAGAUAUCAGGAGGAACACCGGUGGCGAAGGCGGGUCUCUGGGCAACAACUGACGCUGAGGAGCGAAAGCGUGGGGAGCGAACAGG